RNAcentral lists this ribosomal RNA (427 nucleotides) under uncultured bacterium. Its description in RNAcentral is "partial 16S ribosomal RNA". It matches the Rfam family "Bacterial small subunit ribosomal RNA", at positions 355 to 774 of the family's 1533-position model. The record is from RNAcentral.
UGGGGAAUAUUGGACAAUGGGGGCAACCCUGAUCCAGCCAUGCCGCGUGUGUGAAGAAGUCCUUUUGGUUGUAAAGCACUUUAAGCAGUGAAGAAGACUCCAUGGUUAAUACCCAUGGACGAUGACAUUAGCUGCAGAAUAAGCACCGGCUAACUCUGUGCCAGCAGCCGCGGUAAUACAGAGGGUGCAAGCGUUAAUCGGAAUUACUGGGCGUAAAGCGAGCGUAGGUGGCUUGAUAAGUCAGAUGUGAAAGCCCCGGGCUUAACCUGGGAACGGCAUCUGAUACUGUUAGGCUAGAGUAGGUGAGAGGAAGGUAGAAUUCCAGGUGUAGCGGUGAAAUGCGUAGAGAUCUGGAGGAAUACCGAUGGCGAAGGCAGCCUUCUGGCAUCAUACUGACACUGAGGUUCGAAAGCGUGGGUAGCAAACA